RNAcentral lists this ribosomal RNA (253 nucleotides) under uncultured bacterium. RNAcentral's name for it is "partial 16S ribosomal RNA". It matches the Rfam family "Bacterial small subunit ribosomal RNA", at positions 524 to 776 of the family's 1533-position model. The record is from RNAcentral.
UACGGGGGGGGCAAGCGUUGUUCGGAAUUACUGGGCGUAAAGGGCUCGUAGGUGGCCAACUAAGUCAGACGUGAAAUCCCUCGGCUUAACCGGGGAACUGCCAUCCAGACUGCUUUGCUUGAGGCCGGGAGAGGUAAGUGGAAUUCCCAGUGUAGCGGUGAAAUGCGUAGAUAUUGGGAGGAACACCAGUGGCGAAGGCGGCUUACUGGACCGGUUCUGACGCUGAGGCGCGAAAGCGUGGGGAGCAAACGGG